UGGGGAAUAUUGGACAAUGGGCGAAAGCCUGAUCCAGCCAUGCCGCGUGUGUGAAGAAGGUCUUCGGAUUGUAAAGCACUUUAAGUAGGGAGGAAGGGCAGUAAGCGAAUACCUUGCUGUUUUGACGUUACCGACAGAAUAAGCACCGGCUAACUCUGUGCCAGCAGCCGCGGUAAUACAUAGGGUGCAAGCGUUAAUCGGAAUUACUGGGCGUAAAGCGCGCGUAGGUGGAUCGUUAAGUUGUAUGUGAAAUCCCCGGGCUCAACCUGGGAACUGCAUCAAAGACAGCCGAGCUGGGGUAAGGCAGAGGGAGAUGGAAUUUCGUGUGUAGCGGUGAAAUGCGUAGAUAUAGGAAGGAACGCCAGUGGCGAAGGCAAACACCUGGGCUCAUACUGACACUGAGGAACGAAAGCGUGGGGAGCAAACAGG
This 429-nucleotide ribosomal RNA is filed under the name Pseudomonadota bacterium. RNAcentral's name for it is "Proteobacteria bacterium partial 16S ribosomal RNA". It matches the Rfam family "Bacterial small subunit ribosomal RNA", at positions 355 to 776 of the family's 1533-position model. Lineage: Bacteria; Pseudomonadati; Pseudomonadota. The record is from RNAcentral.